Molecule: non-coding RNA, 645 nt
Filed under: Solanum lycopersicum (tomato)
Lineage: Eukaryota; Viridiplantae; Streptophyta; Magnoliopsida; Solanales; Solanaceae
Description: Eukaryotic large subunit ribosomal RNA
Rfam family: Eukaryotic large subunit ribosomal RNA
Source: Rfam by way of RNAcentral
CCCGCUAGUUUAAGCAUAUCAAUGAGCAGAGGAAAAGAAACUUACAAGGAUUCCCUUAGUAACUGAGAGCGAACCAGGAACAACCCAACCUCAGAAUCAGGCGGCUCGGUCAUCCGAAUUACAGUUUGGAGAAGCGUCCUCAGCGGCGAACCGGACCCAAGUCCCCUGGAAGGGGGCUCUAGAGAGGGUGAGAGCUCCGUUGUGCCCGGACCGUGUCACACCACGAGGCGCUGUCUAUGUGUCGGGUUGUUUGGGAAUGCAACCUAAAUGAAGCGGUGAAUUACGUCCAAGGCUAAGUACAAGCGAGAGAUAGAUAACAAACAAGUACCGCGAGGAAAAGAUGAAAAAGACUUUGAAAAGAGAGUCAAAGAGUGCUUGAAAUUGUCGGGAGGGAAGUAGAUGGGGGCUGGCGAUGCGCCUCGAUCGAAUGUGGAACAAUGAUAAGCCGGUUCAUAGAUCGACUCGGGGCACGGACCAGCAUCUAUUGAAGAGGAGGGGGGAGGCAAAAGUGUGAGCCCUCGAUAUACACGUGGAACGCCGUCUCCCCGAUUAUGGCAGGCAGUGCGCGCCUCUGUCCUGCUUCAACAUCUGUGCACUCCGAACGUUGGCCUGUGGUAUCCUCAUUCGACCCGUCUUGAAACACAG